CCUACGGGUGGCAGCAGUGGGGGAUAUUGCACAAUGGGGGAAACCCUGAUGCUGCGACGCCGCGUGGGCGAAGAAGUAUUUCCGUAUGGAAAGCCCUAUCAGCAGGGAAGAAGAAUUGACGGUACCUGCGUCAGAAGCACCGGCUAACUACGUGCCAGCAGCCGCGGUCAUACGUAUGGUGCAAGCGUUCUCCGGAUUUACUGGGGGUAAAGGGAGCGCAGGCGGCACGGCAAGCCUGAUGUGAAAGCCCGCGGCCCAACCGCGGGACUGCAUUGGGAACUACCGGGCUGGAGUGCCGGAGAGGUAGGCGGAAUUCCUAGUGUAGCGGUGAAAUGCGUAGAUAUUAGGAGGAACACCAGUGGCGAAGGCGGCCUACUGGACGGUGACUGACGCUGAGGCUCGAAAGCGUGGGGAGCAAACAGGAUUAGAUACCCCGGUAGUC
RNAcentral lists this ribosomal RNA (442 nucleotides) under uncultured bacterium. RNAcentral's name for it is "partial 16S ribosomal RNA". It matches the Rfam family "Bacterial small subunit ribosomal RNA", at positions 338 to 795 of the family's 1533-position model. The record is from RNAcentral.